GUACCGUGAGGGAAAGGUGAAAAGAACCCCGGGAGGGGAGUGAAAUAGAACCUGAAACCGUGUGCCUACAACCGCUCAGAGCCCCUUAUGAGGGUGAUGAGGUGCUUUUUGUAGAACGAGCCAACGAGUUACGGUAUGUAGCAAGGUUAAGUACUUAAGGUACGGAGCCGAAGGGAAACCGAGUCUGAAUAGGGCGACUAGUUGCAUGCCGUAGACCCGAAACCGGGUGACCUAUCCAUGGCCAGGUUGAAGCGAGGGUAAAACCUCGUGGAGGACCGAACCACGUUGCUGUUGAAAAAGCAUGGGAUGAGCUGUGGAUAGCGGAGAAAUUCCAAUCGAACCCGGAGAUAGCUGGUUCUCUCCGAAAUAGCUUUAGGGCUAGCGUCGAGUAUGAGUAGUGGAGGUAGAGCACUGAAUGGGCUAGGGGGCAUAGCGCUUACCGAACCUUAUCAAACUCCGAAUGCCACAUACUUUGAGCUCGGCAGUCAGACUACGAAUGAUAAGAUCCGUGGUCAAAAGGGAAACAGCCCAGAUCGUCAGCUAAGGUCCCAAAGUGUAAGUUAAGUGGGAAAGGAUGUGAGAUUUCUAAGACAACUAGGAUGUUGGCUUAGAAGCAGCCAUUCAUUAAAAGAGUGCGUAAUAGCUCACUAGUCGAGAGAUCUUGCGCCGAAAAUGUAACGGGGCUAAACUUACCACCGAAGCUACGGGCUUGA
Molecule: ribosomal RNA, 713 nt
Filed under: Enterococcus faecium
Lineage: Bacteria; Bacillati; Bacillota; Bacilli; Lactobacillales; Enterococcaceae
Description: partial 23S ribosomal RNA
Rfam family: Bacterial large subunit ribosomal RNA
Source: RNAcentral